RNAcentral lists this ribosomal RNA (254 nucleotides) under uncultured prokaryote. RNAcentral describes it as "partial 16S ribosomal RNA". It matches the Rfam family "Bacterial small subunit ribosomal RNA", at positions 524 to 776 of the family's 1533-position model. The record is from RNAcentral.
AACGUAGGAGGCGAGCGUUAUCCGGAUUUACUGGGCGUAAAGCGCGUGCAGGCGGUGCGAUAAGUCGUGCGUGAAAGCUCCCAGGCUUAACCGGGAGAGGACGUGCGAGACUGUCGGACUAGAGGCAGGUAGAGGCAAGUGGAAUUCCGGGUGUAGUGGUGAAAUGCGUAGAGAUCCGGAGGAACCCCGGUGGCGAAGGCGACUUGCUGGGCCUGAACUGACGCUCAGACGCGAAAGCAUGGGGAGCGAACGGG